AUGUUGCAGUUGUUGCACAGGCUUCCUGUACGUGAAUUGUUACCUAUUUUCUUUUUUACCACUGUACUACACAAUGAGAAUGCAAUGUUAAAUUUUUUUUUUGAGACAUGUGUUGAUGCUUUCAUAUGCAUUUUUGCCAUAUUUUUAUUAAUCAUCGGUGCGUUGCUGUCUGUGAUUGACGUGGUGUUGCCACCUCGCCGGGCUGAAUUGAGCAGACUGUUAGUCUCGGGUCGAAGUGAAAGCACCGGUAAUUUGUCUGUGGUCGGUGCUGUGCUUGGCCCUUGCCUGUUAGCAUCUCUGAGCACUAGCGAUUACCUAUUAGACUUGCCGUGCGGCUGUGCACCGGUGGUAGUUUGUUGGCAGUCGUCCUUCUGA
This 375-nucleotide ribosomal RNA is filed under the name Triticum aestivum (bread wheat). Its description in RNAcentral is "partial small subunit ribosomal RNA". Lineage: Eukaryota; Viridiplantae; Streptophyta; Magnoliopsida; Poales; Poaceae. The record is from RNAcentral.